AUACGUAGGGGGCGAGCGUUGUCCGGAAUGAUUGGGCGUAAAGGGCGCGUAGGCGGCGCGGUAAGUCUGGAGUGAAAGUCCUGCUUUCAAGGUGGGAAUUGCUUUGGAUACUGCCGCGCUUGAGUGCAGGAGAGGUUAUCGGAAUUCCCGGUGUAGCGGUGAAAUGCGUAGAGAUCGGGAGGAACACCAGUGGCGAAGGCGGGUAACUGGACUGCAACUGACGCUGAGGCGCGAAAGUGUGGGGAGCAAACAGGAUUAGAUACCCUGGUAGUCCACACUGUAAACGAUGAAUGCUAGGUGUAAGAGGUAUCGACCCCUUUUGUGCCGGAGUCAACACAAUAAGCAUUCCGCCUGGGGAGAACGGCCGCAAGGUUGAAACUCAAAGGAAUUCACGGG
RNAcentral lists this ribosomal RNA (396 nucleotides) under uncultured bacterium. Its description in RNAcentral is "partial 16S ribosomal RNA". It matches the Rfam family "Bacterial small subunit ribosomal RNA", at positions 523 to 917 of the family's 1533-position model. The record is from RNAcentral.